RNAcentral lists this ribosomal RNA (158 nucleotides) under basidiomycete from Bashania fargesii. RNAcentral's name for it is "5.8S ribosomal RNA". It matches the Rfam family "5.8S ribosomal RNA". From Rfam's summary of the family: 5.8S ribosomal RNA (5.8S rRNA) is a component of the large subunit of the eukaryotic ribosome. It is transcribed by RNA polymerase I as part of the 45S precursor that also contains 18S and 28S rRNA. The record is from RNAcentral. Lineage: Eukaryota; Fungi; Basidiomycota.
UACAACUUUCAGCAACGGAUCUCUUGGCUCUCGCAUCGAUGAAGAACGCAGCGAAAUGCGAUAAGUAAUGUGAAUUGCAGAAUUCAGUGAAUCAUCGAAUCUUUGAACGCACCUUGCGCUCCUUGGUAUUCCGAGGAGUAUGCCUGUUUGAGUGUCAU